AGAAGAGGCAGAUGCAUUGAAGCUCUGAUUCCCUUUGAAGUUUGCUUCUACUUCUCUCUUGCCAACAAGAUUCAUCAUGAAACAAAAUUCUGUUCUUCAGAGGAAUAUAUUAUCAAGCUUGCAUCUUUAAGAAAUGAAGUACCAUCUCUUUCACAAUACAAUGUAGUACACUAAAUAUCCUGGAGGAUAAAUGAUUUGUCACAGGUCAUAAAGCUGAUUAUUUGAAGAGUCUGGUAUUUCUAUUUUUCUAAGAAAAUGUGUCAAAUGAAUCACCCAUAAUAUACUGAAGAGUAUAUAAGAGUUCAACAUAAUACAUGCUUUCUACCCUUUGGAGGAUUGCAAUCUAAUUUGCAAGAUAAGAUACUGGUACAAGAACUAAUUUUUAAAGAUGUGUUAUAUCAUGUAAUAUACAUUUAUGAUUUAGAAUUAAG
RNAcentral lists this long non-coding RNA (431 nucleotides) under Fukomys damarensis (Damara mole-rat). Its description in RNAcentral is "lncRNA (ENSFDAG00000026046.1)". The record is from RNAcentral. Lineage: Eukaryota; Metazoa; Chordata; Mammalia; Rodentia; Bathyergidae.